This 393-nucleotide long non-coding RNA is filed under the name Salmo salar (Atlantic salmon). RNAcentral describes it as "lncRNA (ENSSSAG00000112209.1)". The record is from RNAcentral. Lineage: Eukaryota; Metazoa; Chordata; Actinopteri; Salmoniformes; Salmonidae.
UUUAUUCUGAACUUCAGAGCUGCGCUUCGAGAGAGCCAUAGGACGCGCUACCAACAUCAGGCUAAUGGAACGUGAAGUAUGGACUUUUUGACCGAAAAUACAUCUGUUGUGGACCUGGGAUGCUUUCUGAUGAAGACAACUAAAGGCGGCGAAUCGCAUCUCUGCAUGUCUGUCAGACAUAUCAGUGUGGAUGACGGAUCACCAGCUCAAGCUGAACCUCGGCAAGACGGAGCUGCUCUUCCUCCCGGGGAAGGACUGCCCGUUCCAUGAUCUCGCCAUCACGGUUGACAACUCCCUUGUGUCCUCCUCCCAGAGUGCUAAGAACCUUGGCGUGAUCCUGGACAACACCCUGUCGUUCUCCACUAACAUCAAGGCGGUGACCCGAUCCUGUAG